This is a non-coding RNA of Odocoileus virginianus texanus, 1378 nucleotides long. NCBI's taxonomy places the organism in Eukaryota, Metazoa, Chordata, Mammalia, Artiodactyla, Cervidae. The record is from RefSeq and is a predicted model, not a curated record.
UGCUUCUUGGUGCAUAUGUUAAAAUUUUGAAAUAUUUUCAAGUGUUAGGUGCAAUAUUGCUCUUUAAGAUCUGUACAGAUAACACAAAUAGAGAUUCAGACCAUUCAGACGAGUAAAAAUAUAGACUACGUACACUGGUAUAAUUGUAGUUGAUCUUGUAACCAAGAAAAGAUAUGAAUGCUUUCAAUAUGUUGGUGAGCACAGAGGAAGAAAGUGCCUGUUUAGCAGAGGAAGGGAAAGUAGUGAACUAUGAGGAAGGGUGUGCUUCCAAUGCUAAGAUGUGGAGAAAUGAGUCAGCUCUGAUAGCCCAGGGGAUGUUGGCUUGGAUUGUGACUUGGAGAGAAUGAGGACUCUAUCUAAACUGAAAGGGGACUGCUGAUAGGAAGGAAAGGAACUACCUUUUGUUUGCUAAUAUCAUUGGUCAGGCCUUUUGAUGAAUAUGGAGAAUGGAUGCCUAGAUCAGCUUCAAAUGAGAGUCUGUUGCCCAUCCCCUGGGAGAGCUGGUCACAUGCAGCCCUCCAGGGUUUCCUCAGCUGCACAGAGUCACCUUAAGGUCACCCUCGUGAUCAAGCAUCAGGCUCUUCUUUCAUAAGAGAACUUAGAAGAAUUUGUUUGUGGACGGAUUCAUAGGACACAGUGAAUGGAUCCAGUGACAGUGCACUCUGAUCGUUUCUUCCUCUUGAACAUUUGGAAUCACGAUCGUUGGACAGGACACAGCCUGGCGACACACCCCUACUAAAGCAUGAGCUUCUUAUGUUCAAUGGCAGCAGGUCCCAAGAGGUGUGGAGGUGGCCUCUGUCCCUCUCCUAUUUCUAGGUUCUCACUGCAAUCAAAUGCACUGGAUUAUGAAAUAUUGGCUCCCUGAACUAGAACAUAAGCUCCAUGGAACCAGAUUAUAGCUUAAGAUGCACUUCUUCCAGGACAAUUCCUGUAAAAUCCAGUGGCCUCCAAACUACCAACAUAAUUCUGGAUCCUCUUGACUACUCAUCACUUUUGUAAUCACUGCAGCUCCGCUUUUUAAGAUGAGUAGUGCUUCAACUACGGAACUAGACAAUGCUAUGAUCAAGACCCCAGGGAACCGUAACACUUCAGAGGCUGCCAGCAGCGCAGACAGAAGGAUUGCUCAGAGAGGACUGUUUUGAAGAGUAGAAGCUGGAAUCAUCUGACGACUUAUUCAUUCAAGUAUCCGGUUCCUAGGCAAGGAGGACUGGAAGACCAGGAAUGCUUAUACUUGGCCUCUGAAUGUGGCUUGCCUUCAUAAUAACAUGGUAGCCUCAGAGUACAUACUGUCACUGCAGACCAUGACUGCAACCAUGAAUUAAAAGAUAACUUGCCCCUUGGAAGAAAAGCUGUGACCAACCUAGAAAGUGUGUUAAAA